This 546-nucleotide ribosomal RNA is filed under the name Paenibacillus polymyxa. Its description in RNAcentral is "bacterial SSU rRNA". It matches the Rfam family "Bacterial small subunit ribosomal RNA", at positions 35 to 556 of the family's 1533-position model. Lineage: Bacteria; Bacillati; Bacillota; Bacilli; Caryophanales; Paenibacillaceae. The record is from RNAcentral.
GCCCGGGGCCGGCGUGCUAAUACAUGCAAGUCGAGCGGGGUUGUUUAGAAAGCUUGCUUCUACACAACCUAGCGGCGGACGGGUGAGUAACACGUAGGCAACCUGCCCACAAGACAGGGAUAACUACCGGAAACGGUAGCUAAUACCCGAUACAUCCUUUUCCUGCAUGGGAGAAGGAGGAAAGACGGAGCAAUCUGUCACUUGUGGAUGGGCCUGCGGCGCAUUAGCUAGUUGGUGGGGUAAAGGCCUACCAAGGCGACGAUGCGUAGCCGACCUGAGAGGGUGAUCGGCCACACUGGGACUGAGACACGGCCCAGACUCCUACGGGAGGCAGCAGUAGGGAAUCUUCCGCAAUGGGCGAAAGCCUGACGGAGCAACGCCUCGUGAGUGAUGAAGGUUUUCGGAUCGUAAAGCUCUGUUGCCAGGGAAGAACGUCUUGUAGAGUAACUGCUACGAGAGUGACGGUACCUGAGAAGAAAGCCCCGGCUAACUACGUGCCACCAGCCGCGGUAAUACGUAGGGGGCAAGCGUUGUCCGGAAUUAUUG